RNAcentral lists this long non-coding RNA (237 nucleotides) under Nicotiana benthamiana. RNAcentral's name for it is "long non-coding RNA (NBEN_LNC034768)". The record is from RNAcentral. Lineage: Eukaryota; Viridiplantae; Streptophyta; Magnoliopsida; Solanales; Solanaceae.
AGUGAAGGAAAGGAAAAAUAAAAACAAAGACAAAAGAGCAUUAGUAACUCCAGCACAAAUAGCGUAAAUAAUUAUCUAAACAUAAGAACCAUAAAUAAAAUAGCAUGCAAUAAUAUCAGACAUUAACUACCAUAAGGGAGACACAAUCCAAUACACAAAUCAUCUAUGGGGAGCCCUGCCCAGCCUCACCCAACCCUGUGUGAGGAGUACGAAAAACUCUAGGAGCCCCUAUCCUAC